CCUACGGGUGGCAGCAGUGAGGAAUAUUGGUCAAUGGACGCAAGUCUGAACCAGCCAUGCCGCGUGCAGGAAGACGGCUCUAUGAGUUGUAAACUUCUUUUAUAUGGGAAUAAAGUGAGGAACGUGUUCCUUUUUGUAUGUACCAUAUGAAUAAGCAUCGGCUAACUCCGUGCCAGCAGCCGCGGUAAUACGGAGGAUGCGAGCGUUAUCCGGAUUUAUUGGGUUUAAAGGGUGCGUAGGUGGUUAAUUAAGUCAGCGGUGAAAGUUUGUGGCUCAACCAUAAAAUUGCCGUUGAAACUGGUUGACUUGAGUAUAUUUGAGGUAGGCGGAAUGCGUGGUGUAGCGGUGAAAUGCAUAGAUAUCACGCAGAACUCCGAUUGCGAAGGCAGCUUACUAAACUAUAACUGACACUGAAGCACGAAAGCGUGGGGAUCAAACAGGAUUAGAUACCCUAGUAGUC
Molecule: ribosomal RNA, 460 nt
Filed under: uncultured bacterium
Lineage: Bacteria
Description: partial 16S ribosomal RNA
Rfam family: Bacterial small subunit ribosomal RNA
Source: RNAcentral